UUAAACGGAUUUUUAUAUUUAAAAUUUCUCGAAAUCUAAAGAGCUAAGAGAUUAUAUAUUUUAAUGUGGAAUAAUUAUUUGGAAUAAUUUUUUUGUAAUGAUAUGUUAGUCGGUUUGGAUGAUAUCUAGUUUUUUAAGAAAUAAAUUUAAUUUAGUUUGUUGUUAAUAAUUACUUUUUUGGGAAAGUGGUUAUUUAUAAUAAUUUAAUAUUCAAGGGGAUAAGCUUUUGAAUAUAUUUUUAUAAUUUAGGUAUAUUUGAAUAAAUUGUAGGAUUGGAAGUUUUUAUCAUUAAAAGUGAGUUUUAUCUUUUUAUUUGAAUUUAAAAUUUUAUUUUAUUUAAUUCUUUUAUUAAAAUAUUAUAGAUAAUUGAUUUUUAUAAAUAAUAAUGAUAAAAUUAGUAUAAUUUUAUUUAUCUUGAAAGGUUAAUUAAAGGAAUUCGGCAAAAUAAUUUUCUGCCUGUUUAAUAAAAACAUGGCUUUUUGUGAUAAUUUAAGGUCUGGCCUGCCCAAUGAUAAUUAAAUGGCCGCGGUAUUUUAACCGUGCAAAGGUAGCAUAAUCAUUAGUUUUUUAAUUGAAAGCUAGAAUGAAUGGUUGGACAAGAAAAUUACUGUCUCUGAUUAAUUUUAUUUAGAAUUUUAUUUUUAAGUCAAAAAGCUUAGAUUUGAUUUAGGGACGAGAAGACCCUAUAGAAUUUUAUAAUUUACUUAGAUUUUAAAAUUAGGGUUUGGUUUUUUAUUUUAAAUGAAUUAUUUUGUUGGGGUGAUAGAAAAAUUUAACUAACUUUUUUUUUAUUUUUACACUAAUAUGUGAUUAUGUGAUCCAGAUGUUUUGAUAUAAGAUUAAAUUACCUUAGGGAUAACAGCGUUAUUAAUUUGGAGAGUUCUAAUCGAUAAAUUAGAUUGCGACCUCGAUGUUGGAUUAAAAUUUACUUUAGGUGCAAAAGCUUAUAAGUUAAGUCUGUUCGACUUUUAAAAUUUU
This 978-nucleotide ribosomal RNA is filed under the name Cacostomus subvittata. RNAcentral's name for it is "partial 16S ribosomal RNA". The stretch from base 423 to 621 matches the Rfam family "Archaeal large subunit ribosomal RNA", at positions 1797 to 2106 of the family's 2987-position model. The record is from RNAcentral. Lineage: Eukaryota; Metazoa; Arthropoda; Insecta; Coleoptera; Lucanidae.